Molecule: ribosomal RNA, 391 nt
Filed under: uncultured bacterium
Lineage: Bacteria
Description: bacterial SSU rRNA
Rfam family: Bacterial small subunit ribosomal RNA
Source: RNAcentral
AACGAACGCUGGCGGCGUGCCUAACACAUGCAAGUCGAGCGAGAAAAGGGGAGCAAUCCCCUGAGUACAGCGGCGCACGGGUGAGUAACACGUAGGUGAUCUCCCCUCGAGCCCGGAAUAACCUACCGAAAGGUGGGCUAAUACCGGAUAUGACCACGGGAGUUUUGGUCUCCUGCGGUGAAAGAUGGCCUCUACCUGUAAGCUAUCACUCAAGGAUGAGCCUGCGUGCCAUUAGCUAGUUGGUGAGGUAACGGCUCACCAAGGCUAUGAUGGCUAGCUGGUCUGAGAGGAUGGCCAGCCACACUGGGACUGAACACGGCCCAGACUCCUACGGGAGGCAGCAGUGGGGAUAUUGCGCAAUGGGCGAAAGCCUGACGCAGCGACGCCGCGU